This 132-nucleotide small RNA is filed under the name Cohnella sp. RNAcentral describes it as "c-di-AMP sequence". It matches the Rfam family "c-di-AMP riboswitch aptamer (ydaO/yuaA leader)". Rfam says of the family: This family represents a conserved RNA structure found upstream of the ydaO and yuaA genes in Bacillus subtilis and related genes in other bacteria. Lineage: Bacteria; Bacillati; Bacillota; Bacilli; Caryophanales; Paenibacillaceae. The record is from RNAcentral.
UAACCAUUCAGGCCGAAGUCCAAUCGGACGCGGAGGACCCAAUUUGUGGGGUGAAGUCGCAGCUUUUGCGGCAGGGACACUCUUUGAACCUAACCCGGCAGCUAACUUCGCAGGCUAACAAAGGGGAGAUAU